This is a long non-coding RNA of Ictalurus punctatus (channel catfish), 1907 nucleotides long. The record is from Ensembl. NCBI's taxonomy places the organism in Eukaryota, Metazoa, Chordata, Actinopteri, Siluriformes, Ictaluridae.
GUUUCUACGAGAGUGCGGCCCUUCAAGUGAACAAGACUCUAAUUACGCUGCCUAGUGAAGCCCACUUAAUGAGCUCUCUGAAGGCAAUCUCAGCCUACGGUUGCUAGUCAGGCUCACAGCACAUCAAUAUUACAGUAAUAGCUUCUUCUCAGCACCCUCUUCGAGCAAACUCUUAUGCAUGUCUGCAACACCGGCGUGUAAAGUAAUUGGUUUACAGUCUUACGAGCACUCUUGAUGCCAUACACCGUGGUGCGUUUCCUCAUUGAGAUUUCACACUGAAAGCAGUUCGAAGAGGAAAAGGCGCUGUAAUGCUCUCCCAACGGUCACAUUCAGGUGCUGCAAGGCUGCUGCAUCCCAUUUGCUAGUUUCAGUUAUUACACCAUUUUCCCACUUAACUGUUUAAUUGCCUAACUACAGCGCAUUGUUAGGAGCCAUGUAGCUGUGGUCAUGUGAUCCAUAAAACGCGGGUAACGGCUUUCGCUUAAAUUGCCGCCGGGGACAGAUCCUGCAUGUGUAAUUAUCAAGCAAGUUUGGAGAGACUAUUUAAAGCCAGUGGCACUGAGCGCGAGUUGGUUUGCAAAUGGUGUUCGACACUUCACAAAAUGAGCUAACGCGAUCAUAAUUUGCGUUCGUCUAUCCCCUUUUGGACUGCCGAACCUUCCUCGUCGCUCCCCGACCUAGAAUCCUGCACGUGACAAACUGACAACUAAUGAAGUAGCAGUGGGGAUUUCAGGCAGCGCGGCUUUCGCGGUCGGCUCCGCGUAUCUGAAGCGUUAACUUUAUUUCCUGUUGAGCGGUGAGCACCAAGACUGGCCUCACAAAUGGGUUUAAUCAGGCCAGACCUAAUGCAAUUCAAACGCAUGCAUUGUUAGCCAAGACUUGGCAAGCCUCAGAUGUCUCUGCCUUGUGGGGCUUAAGGCUGCUUAUCGCUCCUGGAGCAGGAGAGUGUCGAGAUGGAUUCGAUUUAUUGCAGGUUCGCCUUAGCGGAGCCAAAGAAACGACACAGAGAGGAGCUCCUUUCACUCCUCGGUGGAAAAAUAACAGAAUGUAUAGUAGAUGGAGGCACCGGCAUGGGAGCGAACACCGCAUGAAUUCAAAGCUGUCAGUUGCUGUAAGGUUUGAUCGAGCACCGUAGGGGGAUUGCAGAUCAUACGUAUUAUUUACAUGCCAGAGUCAAUUCUUGAUUUAAUUAUGUACUAUACGGCUAUGUGCGGGUAUAUAUGCAUGUAUGCCGUUGUUGUGUAAUGAAUGCCUGUGCUGUCGGAUUUCGCCCCUAAAAAAUCGCUGUAGACAAUUCCCAGUAUAGCCACCCUCUCCCAAGCAUGUCGCAUUCCUCCAGCGACGUGUACAAAGCUCAUCACGAUACGCCUCAAUUGCUUUUACAGGCUAGGGCUGCGUCUCUCAAGAGUCUCAACUGAUUAUCUGAAACAUGGACAAGUAGUUGUUUUCCUGCCUUUGACAUCAAGUGAACACCCGCCAGCAAGUCCAUGAGACAAAGACCGCUGGGGCCAAACAUGAUGCCUGCAUAUCAGAUAAUUAUUAUUAUUUUCCAAGCUGUUAAAACAGAACCACUCAUGUGUUUUUCUUUUACAGACGUGACAUACAAUCCAAGUGGGUUAUCCAAACUUUCUUAGAAGUGAGACAGACUGAGGGUUAAAAGCCUUGUUCUUUGUCAGUCCUGUGAUUUAAACCAUGGCUCGUAAGAACUGAGUCACGGGGAACCUGGAGUCUAUCCCAGGGAGCAUCGGGCACAAGAUGGGGUACAUCCUGGACAGGGUGCCAGUCCAUCGCAGGGCACACACACACACACACAUUCACACACCCAUUCAUACACUACGGACACUUUAGACACGCCAAUUAUGCAUGUCUUUGGAAUGGGGGAGGAAACCGGAGUACCCGGAGGAAAC